GCCCCUGUAGCUCAGCUGGACAGAGCAUCGCAUUCCUAACGCGAGGGUCGGAGGUUCGAAUCCUCUCGGGGGUA
RNAcentral lists this transfer RNA (74 nucleotides) under Rhodopirellula maiorica SM1. It matches the Rfam family "tRNA". From Rfam's summary of the family: Transfer RNA (tRNA) molecules are approximately 80 nucleotides in length. Their secondary structure includes four short double-helical elements and three loops (D, anti-codon, and T loops). The record is from Rfam by way of RNAcentral. Lineage: Bacteria; Pseudomonadati; Planctomycetota; Planctomycetia; Pirellulales; Pirellulaceae.